Chlorocebus sabaeus (green monkey) is the source of this 914-nucleotide non-coding RNA. The record is from RefSeq and is a predicted model, not a curated record. NCBI's taxonomy places the organism in Eukaryota, Metazoa, Chordata, Mammalia, Primates, Cercopithecidae.
UCUGCAAGGAAAGAGGCUGUUGGGGCAGGAGUAAGGUGACAAGGCAGGACACAAGUGAGAAGCAGGCAAGUCUUUCCUUGCCAGACUUGGAUCAGUCACUCACACCUUAGUAUGAAUAAGUUCCAAGUUAUUUUUUUCCAGACCUCCACAAUGGCCAGAAUCACACUACACCGUUCCCUCAGCAGCCCUAGGACUACCCAGUUCCCAUGAACCUGACAUCUGCCUCUUCAAAAGAACUGGAACACCCAGAAGGAGGGAUGGGUCUUCACAUCCCUUGCCAGCUCUGAGGCAUGACCCAGGGACCCAAGGACCCCAACAGGAUCCAGGACACCCUGUGUGGCCAGGACAGGUAUCAGAUACAGACGAGAUGGAAGGUGCCCUUCCCACAUCCCUGCUGGGCAAAUUCCAAAGAUCCUUUAAAGAGUCAGCUCAAAUGUCACCAACUCCAGAGAAGUUUUCCCUGAUCCUCCCCACCUGUGUCCAGAUUAAGUGUCCUCCCCAGUCCCAAAGCUACCGGCAUGUCCCCUCAGAGCCUCAUCACACUGCUGUGUUUUCAUCUCUGUGAGGUCUUUGGGGACAGGAGCAUAUCCGUCUUCAUCACCCCCAGUCCCCUGUACAGAGCCGGCCACAGAGUGGCAGGCAGCUCAGUAAAUGGGUGCCUGGUAAACAUCUCCCCCAUGGGGUUCCCCCAUCACUUUGAAUUUCCAUCUCUGUAAGCCACAUUAUGUUCCAGGGUUUCUUUUUCUUGAAGCCACAAAGCCCAUCAAAUGAAAGUUAGUGAGAGCAGAGCUGCCUGGUUGAAGCCAGGAAGCCUCCCACCCUCCCCUUCAACCCCCAGGGCAGCCCCCAGGGUGCCUCAGAGGAACCCAGUUUGAAAACUGAAUAAAAGGUUCUGUAGCUUUGUUAAAACCAAA